Long non-coding RNA from Epinephelus lanceolatus (giant grouper), 893 nucleotides. RefSeq lists it as uncharacterized. The record is from RefSeq and is a predicted model, not a curated record. NCBI's taxonomy places the organism in Eukaryota, Metazoa, Chordata, Actinopteri, Perciformes, Serranidae.
CUUGAGCUCUUUCACUGGCGGGGUGGUAGUAAGCUAACUCCCCUGCUCUUCAACAUGCCGUUGUCACAUGUCUUUUUAAAUUUACGUCUACAUAUGGACUUAACUGCAGAUGAGCCGCCGUGAACAGGUGCAGCUUCGGCGGAUGAGGCUCAUCUUCAUGCCAAGAGAAGCAGCCUUUCAGCGAAACGAAAGGUUCACGUGUCCCACUUCACACUGUCUGCUAACGUGAGGAGGCCUGGUGAAAAGGUUUUGAUCUUCAAAGCAAGACUAUGACGACACAUGGGAGCUGAUGAGAGCUGAACAGGUCUUGACAAUCUACAAAGAAAAGACUAAGGCAACACACGCGUGCUGGGAAAUGUUGAACAGGUGAAAUCGAUGGAAGUGGAUGCAACACCAGCUUGGGAUAGAUCCAGAAGUGAAUAUUAAAUGCAGUAGAUUUGUCAGUAUAAAAAUGAAGCCAUGUUUAAUCUAAAACAUGUUUAAUAAAAUUAUGAACGGUAUAAAAAUUCAAGCACAAUGGCACAUUUUAAAUAUAUUCUGCACAUGAAAAGUAACCUAAAUCUUACUGGGAGCACCCAGUAUGUGUUGGUCAAUCUGUUUUGAAGGUGGAUCUGUAAGAUUUCUUCUUCAAAUUCUCCAAGAAGAUCUGCUCCUCUGCGAGGAAUUCCUGGUCCUGUGGGGAGGAAGAGAAAGUAAUUAGGAACAGAAGCGCAAACUUUGAAACAUUCAAAGACAACUGUUUCUAGAUUUUUUUUUUUUUUUUUUUUUUUUGCCAUCGACUGGUGGAAGCUGUCACUGUAGCUUAGUAAAUGUGUUUAUUGUGGAUGAGUCACAUGUUGUAAUGAGCUUGUUUCAAUUCCAUUUUGACAUUAAAAACCUACAGUAACAACCAA